This 254-nucleotide ribosomal RNA is filed under the name uncultured bacterium. RNAcentral describes it as "partial 16S ribosomal RNA". It matches the Rfam family "Bacterial small subunit ribosomal RNA", at positions 524 to 776 of the family's 1533-position model. The record is from RNAcentral.
UACGGAGGGUGCGAGCGUUGUCCGGAAUCACUGGGCGUAAAGGGCGCGUAGGUGGCCUGUGGAAGUCUGCGGUGAAAGCCCGGCGCUCAACGCCGGGUCGGCCGUGGAUACUCUCGGGCUCGAGCUUACUAGAGGCAGAUGGAAUUCCGGGUGUAGCGGUGGAAUGCGUAGAGAUCCGGAAGAACACCGGUGGCGAAGGCGGUCUGCUGGGGUAAUGCUGACACUGAUGCGCGAAAGCGUGGGGAGCAAACAGG